CAGGUUACACCAUCUUCGUUACCUUGCACUCAUUCAAAACAACUUCAUCUCAGCUACAAUUCCUUCAGAAUUUGGGAAUCUCAGCAGGUUAGAGGCCUUAUCUCUUAGGAAUAAUAGCUUUGUAGGCCAAGUUCCUUCCUCAUUUAACAGCCUAAGCCUUCUUUCCGUUUUAGAACUUUCCCUAAACGAGCUCACUGGUAGUUUCCCACUUGUGAGGAAUCUAACAAAGCUCUCGGCUUUAAGCCUUGCUGCGAAUCAUUUCUAUGGAACUCUGAAUCCUAAGAGUACUAGCCUGUUUGAGUUGCGCCACCUCCGUUACCUUGAUCUAAGUCAAAACAACUUCACCUCAUCACUCCCUUCUGAAUUUGGAAAUCUCAACAGACUAGAGAUCUUGGCUCUUUCCUCCAAUGACUUUUUCGGGCAAGUUCCUCCCACAAUUAGUAACCUAACCUCGUUAGAGGAAUUGAACCUUCACCACAACCAACUCACUGGUAGUUUCUCACUUGUUCAAAACCUAACCAUGCUUUCAGUUAUAGCAAUCAAUCAUAAUCACUUCUCUGGAGCCAUUCCAUCUUCUCUCUUCACCAUGCCUUUCUUAUCAUAUCUCGAGCUGAGAGACAACGAUCUCACUGAUUCUGUUGAAGUUUACAACUCCUCAUCUACCCUGUCUAGGCUCGAGUACUUGUCCCUUGGGAAUAACCAUUUUGAAGGAAAAAUCAUAGAGCCUAUCUCAAAACUCAUCAGCGUCAAGAUUCUUGACCUUUCUUUCCUUAACACAAGUUACCCGAUUGAUGUAAGCCUCUUCUCCACGCUGAAAGAUUUGGUGGACCUUGAUCUUUCCGGUAAUAGUAUAUCUCCGGCCAGUUUAGGUUCAAAUUUAGACAUCCCAACAAACCUGGAGAUUUUGUUGUUACGAGGUUGCGGCAUCAAAGAGUUCCCAAAUAUCUUUAAGAUCCUUGAGAAGUUGGAGAAUAUAGACUUGUCCGACAACAUAAUCAAAGGCGAGGUCCCGGAGUGGUUAUGGAAGCUUCCUCGUCUAAACACAGUGUUUCUUUCAAAUAAUUCGUUUAAUGGUUUGGAAGGUCCAGUGGAUGUUUUGGUAAAUUCAUCUGUGAAGAAUUUAUUUAUGGAGCGAAACUAUUUUGAAGGAGCAGUUCCUAUUCUACCACUCUCCAUCAACAACUUUGCUGCGACAAUCAAUAGAUUCACAGGGAGAAUACCUCUUUCAAUAUGCAAUUGUAGGUCGCUUACGCAUUUAUGGCUUCCUUACAACAACCUCACGGGUCCAAUCCCUCAAUGCUUGAGUAACUUGACGGUUUUGAAUCUCCGGAAGAACAACUUGGAAGGAAGUAUCCUUGAGGCAUUUUAUGUCGGUGCUUCUCUACAAACACUUGAUGUUGGACACAAUCGACUAACCGGGAAACUUCCAAGAUCUCUUCAGAAUUGUUCAUCUCUCGAGUUUCUAGCUGUUGACCACAACAUAAUCAAAGACAAGUUUCCUUUUUGGCUCAAGGCUUUACCAAAUUUGCAAGUCCUUAUCCUCAGUUCAAACAAAUUCUAUGGAUCUAUAUCUCCUCCUGGUCAAGGUCCUCUCGGGUUUCCAGAGCUGCGUAUAUUUGAGAUAGCUGAUAAUAAGUUUACUGGAAGCUUGCAACCGAGAUAAUUUGUCAAUUGGAAAGCAUCGUCCCUUAUGAUGAAUGAAGAUGGUGGUCUAUAUAUCGCACGGGAACUCAUUUUAUAAAAAAUAUAUUAUAAUCUAUAAUAUAUAAUUUUAUAUGCCUGAUAAAAAAAUUAAACCAUAUAAAUAAUUAAAUUUAAUUUUGAUGAUUAAAAUAUGAUUUACAAAGUAUUCAAAUAUAUAUAUAUAAAAAAUAUAUAUAUAUAUUUUAUAAACCUUAAUAUUCCCUUUAAUUUUUUAUCAAAACACAUAUUGCAUACAAUUGUGUCUUCAUUCUUUUUAAAUUUUUUCAUACAUUUUUCACAUGAUAGUUAUCUUCAACCACUUUUUGAACAAAAUGCAAUUUUUUUUUUUGCAUGAUAUAUAAUUUUUUUCCUAUUUAAGACAUAAUAUUAAAAUUAUUAGUUUAUAAUUUUAAACAAUUAUAAUUUGUAUGUUGGUAAUUGUUAUUUUGUAUAUUUAUCUACCUGCUUUAUUUAUUGAAAAUGAAUAUUCAGAAAAUUGAAUAUUGUAAUAAAUAUAUGUUGAUUUACGUUAAUAUGACAUGUCUCAUUUAAAAUAUUUUUUUUUUAAUUUUUGGGAGAGUUCUCAUAAAAUACCAACACUUAUUAUAUAAACUAACACAUUACUUAAAUAAAACCUAUAUUUUUUAAAGCAAUCCCACUUUGAGGUGAAAAGACACUUUGUUUAGAUGAAAAAUUGCAACUUUGACAUUAUUUUUUUCACCAUUUUAUUAUUAGUAGAUUAGUGAAAAUUUGAUUUGAAAAAUGUAUGGGAGAGACUAUUUAUAGAUUUUUUAAAGUCUAUUUGAAUAGUCACAACCCUUCAAUAUGAAUAGUUGCAUUCUUUUAACACUCACAACUUCUCAUUUUUUAAAAGAUACUAGUGAAUAGUCACAACUUUUAGACUAUUUUUAGAAGGACACAACCUUACAACAUAUAACUUUUAGAAAAGACACAACUCUCUACACAUAUUUUUCAAAAGACACAACCUUUCAACAUAAUUGAAGUUCACAACCUUAGGAAUUAAUUGGAAAAGACACAACCUUACUACAUAGAACUUUUAGAAAAGACACAACCCUUUACACUACUUUUUCAAAAGACACAACCUUUCAACAUAAGUGUAUUCACAACCUUAGAAAUUAAUUGUAAAAGACACAACCUUCCAACAUAGAACUUUUAGAAAAGACACAACCCUUUACACUUCUUUUUCAAAAGAUACAAUCUUUCAACAUAAGUGGACUCACAACCUUUAGAAUUAAUUGGGAUUGCUAUUAUUAGCAGAUAAGAAACUCUUGUGAGAAAGUGUACUGCUAAUGAUGCUCUUAGUGGGCGACACAUGUAGGGUCUUCUGAUGUCUUUCCCAAGUUAUACGUUUGAAAAAUCAAGUAACUUUAGCGCCAUUAAGUUCUCCAAUCAAAAAUAGCGUAGCUCUCUAUCUUUUUCCAAGUCACGUUGUGUGUGGUGACAUAUCUUUAUUUAUACCACCAACCCUCUCUCUCAUUUUUCUUAAACCAAAACAAUUCUUCUUCAAUACUUUUUCAUAAAGACCAUGUCUGAAUCCCAUUUGCAUUUGCAUUUUCUCUCGCUACUUUUGCUCUGUUAUGUCUCCCCUUCAAGCUUCUCCAGUUUAAACAUCGACUAUAGUAGCUAUGUUGCUUGUCGUCCCUAUCAAACUCAAGUUCUCACUGAGUUCAUGAACGAGUUUGAUAGCAGCCACUGCAACCUCAGUGAUCCCUAUAACAGAGUCUGGUGCGAUAACUCUACCGGUGCGGUCACAAUGCUACGACUAAGAGCCUGCCUCAGUGGAAACCUUAAGCCCAACAGUAGCUUAUUCAGGUUACAUCAUCUUCGUUACCUUGACCUCUAUCAAAACAACUUCAUCUCAGCUACACUUCCUUCUGAAUUUGACAAUCUCAACAGGUUAGAGGUCUUAUAUCUUUCCAAUAAUAGCUUUGUAGGCCAAGUUCCUUCCUCAUUUAAUAACCUAAGCCUUCUUUCCUAUUUAGACCUUUCCCAAAAUGAUCUCACCGGUAGUUUCCCACUCUUACGGAAUCUAUCAAAGCUCUCGUUUUUAGACCUUAACAAUAAUCAUUUCUCUGGAACUCUGAAUCCAAACAUUACUAGCCUGUUUGAGUUGUACAACCUCCGUUACCUUGAUCUAAGUUACAACAACUUCAGUUCAUCACUCCCUUCUGAGUUUGGAAAUCUCAACAAACUUGAGAUCUUGGCUCUUCAGUCCAGCGACUUUUUCGGGGAAGUUCCUCCCACAAUUAGUAACUUAACCUCGUUAACAGAAUUAUACCUUGAUGACAACCAGCUCACUGGUAGUUUCCCACUUGUGCAAAAUCUUACCAUGCUCUCCGUUAUAGAAAUCGCUGAUAAUCACUUCUCUGGAACCAUUCCUUCUUCUCUCCUCACUAUGCCUUCCUUAUUAGUUCUCAAACUGCGUGGAAAUAAUCUCACGGGAUCUAUUAAAUUUCCUAACUCCUCUACCCCGUCUAGGCUCGAGUACUUGUACCUUGGGAAAAACCAUUUCGAAGGAAAAAUCAUAGAGCCUAUCUCAAAGCUCAUCAACCUCAAGCUUCUUGACCUUUCUUUGCUAAACACAAGUUACCCGAUUGACUUAAACCUCUUCUCCUCUCUUGAAUCUUUGUUGCACCUUGAUCUUUCUGGUAACAGUAUAUCUCCAGCCAGUUUAGAUUCAAAGUCAGACAUCCCAAUAAACCUGGAGAUUUUGUGGUUACAAGGCUGCGGCAUCAAAGAGUUCCCAAAUAUCUUAAAGAUCCUUGAGAAGUUGGAGUAUAUAGACAUUUCGGGAAAUAUAAUCAAAGGAAAAGUCCCCGAGUGGCUAUGGAAGCUUCCUCGUCUAAACACCGUGUUUUUAACAAAUAACUCGUUUAAUGGUUUGGAAGGUCCAGUGGAUGUUUUGGUAAAUUCAUCUGUGAAGAAUUUAUUACUAGGGCAGAACCAUUUUGAAGGAACAAUUCCUCUCCUACCACUCUCUAUCAACGUCUUCUCUGCGUCAGGCAAUAGAUUCACAGGGAGCAUACCUCUUUCAAUCUGCAACUAUAGAUCUCUCACGCAAUUGAAGAUAGGUUACAACAACCUCACGGGUACAAUCCCUCAAUGCUUGAGUAACUUUACGUUUGUGAAUCUUCGGAAGAACAACUUGGAAGGGAGUAUUCCUGACGCCUUUCAUAUCAGUUCUUCUCUAAAGACACUUGACGUUGGACACAAUCUACUCACCGGGAAACUUCCAAGAUCUCUUCAAAAUUGCUCAUCUCUAGAGUUUCUGGUUGUUGACCACAACAGAAUCAAAGACAAGUUUCCUUUUUGGCUCAAGUCUUUAUCAAAUUUGGAAGUACUUAUCCUCAGUUCUAACAAGUUAUAUGGAUCUAUAUCUCUUCCUGGUCAAGGUCCUCUCGGGUUUCCAGAGUUACGUAUAUUUGAGAUAUCUGAUAAUAAGUUUACUGGAAGCUUGCCACCAAGAUAUUUUGAGAACUGGAAAGCGUCGUCACUUAUGAUGAACGAAGAUGGUGGUCUGUAUAUGGUAUACACAAAGGCUACUUCGGGGAGGCUGUCCUAUUUCAAUAUAGAAGCUAUAGAUUUGAAAUACAAAGGUCUAUCAAUGGAGCAAGGGAGGGUCCUUACCUCAUACGCCACUAUUGAUCUUUCUGGGAAUAGAAUUGAAGGACAGAUUCCUGAAUCAAUUGGUCUUUUGAAAGCAUUGAUUGCACUCAACUUAUCAAACAACGCCUUCACAGGCCAUAUUCCUCUGUCUCUCUCCAAUCUUGGCAAGCUCGAGUCACUAGACCUAUCAAGCAACCAACUCUCAGGGACUAUUCCUAAUGGAAUCGGGAGCCUCUCUUUUUUGGAGUACAUAAAUGUGUCUCACAACCAACUCAAGGGAGAAAUACCACAAGGAACACAGAUUACCGGCCAACCUAAGUCUUCAUUUGAAGGGAAUGCAGGGCUUUGUGGUCUUCCUCUCCAGGAAACUUGCUUUGGGACUAUUGCGCCACCAACACAGCAACCCAAGGAAGAAGAAGAAGGAGAAGAGGAAGAAGUGUUGAACUGGAAAAGCGUGGCAAUAGGGUAUGGAACUGGAGUGUUGCUUGGACUUGCAAUAGCACACCUCAUUGCAACAUAUAAACCGGAGUGGCUCGUUAAGAUAAUUGGUCCGAACAAGCGCAGAAGCCUUUAGGAGUGUUUUUAGUUUGAGUAUGAUAUGAACCUUCAAUGUAUGUCAAGUGGUUGAUGUGAUUCCUCUUGUAUGGAAGCAUCUCUUUAUGUUUGUUGUAUCAUUGUCUGAUGCUUUGUUUCUAUUUCGUUUUCUAUAAAAUAAGAAGGGUGAACGUUUUGUAGUCAAUUUCAUGUGCAUCUCUCUUUUUUUUCCUCUACUGAGUAAAAUGGCAGACGGAAGGAAGAUGGUAAAAGGGGGUCAUAUUGGGAUUUAGUAGUAUUCAAUAAGAAGAAGCCAAUAAACUGUUGAGACCUAAUGGGAUAGAGACAACUAAUAUAUUAAAUGGCCGUUUUGUAUAGAAAGCUUUGUGAUUAUGUCACUUAUUAAUUUGAAGUUGCCUGUAAGAAAAUGAUUGCUGUAGAAAGAAAUUUGAGAAAGUUUCAGAUCAGAGAGAUUGUCAGAACAGGAAAGGUAGUGGAUUGUUGGACUAUAUGACUUUCUGAAAAUCAUGUUAUCAUCCAGUUUCUGCUUUCUACUACAUCUUUGAGUGGACAUAAACACAUAGAUCUCCUGGACUUUCCUUAACUUUUGGAAUAUGGAAUGAUGAUUUUUAAUAACAGAUAGCACUGAGAAGGGAAAAGAUGGGUGCUACUGCUCCAUUUUGGCGAUUCUCAGCAGCUUCCUAUCCAGAUCUCAAGGAGCAAGCACCUGGUCAGUGUGAGAGAGAUAAGAACAAUGCCUGAAUGUUGUAUCCCCUGGUCUCACAUAGUAUUUUUUACUGACACACUGACCAAUCUUCUUUUUCUAUUUUUUUUUGGUUUAGAGUUUGGCUGUAGGACAUGCUGAAACAGAGGGAAUUUCACGCAUUACAACAGUUGUUCCUGCGACAGAUGAAUCAGUCAGCAAAUUGGUGCAGCAACUUUACAAACUCAUAGAUGUGCAUGAGGUUAGGAUAAAAAAAAAAUCAAUUGUCUUUAGGAUUAUAUAUAACAGUUUGAAUGCUCUUGUUGACUCUACCCUUUGCUCUUUUACCUUUUGCUAUUUCUGUUAACUGCAGGUCCAUGCUCUUACUCAUAUGCCAUUUGCUGAAAGAGAACUGAUGCUGAUUAAGAUUGCUGUGAACGCUGCUGCGAGAAGAGAUGUCCUGGACAUUGCUAGUAUUUUCAGGGCUAAAGCUGUUGACGUUUCCGACCAUACAAUUACUUUGCAGGUAGAUUGCAUUCAUCAUUAACUGGAUUUCUAUUUGAGGUGUAGUUGCACAUCACAUGAAAUAUCUUUAUCCAUUGGAGUACCGUUUGACAUAAUCUAUGAAGCAGACUUCAGUUUUCCAUCCGAAUCCCUUUCUCCCUUAGUUUUUUUUUGGUAUUUGUUGCUGAAAAUUGUUUGCUGUGGAAUUACCUUACUGGGGAUCUUGACAAGAUGGUUGCACUACAAAGGUUGUUGGAGCCCUACGGUAUAUGCGAGGUUAGUUUUCAUCUCUUACUAGAUGUUAUAAUCUUGGCGCUAAUAAAUAAGUCUGGUAAAAUAAAAAACCAAAGCCUGACACAUUUUUCUAAUGUCUUCUGAACAAAAAUCAGUUUGAGAAGUGUUGUUGUUACUUGUAUUAUAACUUGUACAUCGUGUUGAUCUUUACUAAUGAACAAUCAAUCAAUCACAGGUUGCAAGAACAGGGCGUGUGGCGUUGGCUCGUGAAUCAGGAGUGGACUCUAAGUAUCUUCGUGGAUACUCUUUUCCCUUAACAGGUUAACAAGUCAAUCGCAGAGUUGGAUACAAAACCUGUAUCCAUGGAACAGAUUUUUGAAGAUAAAAGUUUCAUCAAAUAUUUUGCAAGCCAACCAAAGUCUAGCCAGAGAGAGACUGUGUGUAGAUAUGUUUGGGACUUUGUUUAUUUUAUAAUUAGCAGAUUUUUGAAUUUUGUGACUUCAUUUCAGUUCAUUUAUUUUGAGAAUAAACUGUUGUUGGGAUUAAUAUUACUGUGAUGAUAUCUAACAGCAUAGUUUCUUAGUGGGCAAUUUUUUCAAAUAGUCAUUGUUAAAUUUUGGUCACCAAAAUAGCUCUGAAAAAAAAAAUCAAAUCACUAUUUUUUAUUUUGAAAAUUUUAAUUUUAAUUUGAAACCCAAUCUUCUAAACUCCAUUUUUAACUCUGAACUUUAAAUUUUAACGGGCAAUUGUCAAUAAUAGCACAUUUUGAAGUUUAUGUCUCAAAAAUAGCACUAGAAGGAGAAAGUCACAAAAAUGACAUUCAUUAAAGGGUAAAAUGUCCAUAAUAUCCUUGGUUUAAAUUAAAUAAACAAACAAAAAUAAAAAAAAAAUAAAUAAAAAAUAAAAAAUAAAAAUAAAUUUUUUUAUAGUUUCAGAUUAUAUGUUUUCAGAUUCGAAAUUUUUAUAAUUUUUUUUUUAAAAAAAAUUUUGAAUUUUUUUGAAUUUUUUUUCAAAUUUUAUUUUUAUAGUUUAAAAAUAAUUUUUGAAACUGUUUUAAAAAUUUUUAUUUUUUAUUUUAGUAUUUGUUUUUUAUAAAAUUUUAAACCCUAAUUCCAAAACCCCACCCCCUUAACUCUAAACCUUAAGGUUUGGAUUAAUUAACCCAAGGGGUAGAAGUGUAUAUUUACCUCUUUAAUGAAACCUAUUUUUGUGACUUUGAACUUUGAGUGCUACUUUGGGAACAAAAACUUGGUUUGAUGAUAUCCUAGUCUUUUUCUCAAUUCUAAAUUUAGAUUAAUUAACUCUAAGGAUAUGAAUGUAUAUUUAUUUUUUAAUAAAAUAUUUUUAGUUAUUUUCUUCUUUUAAGUGCUAUUUUUAUUUAAAAAAAAACUAAAAAACGUUGUUUUAUGGAGUUUUUCUUUCUUAAUUCCUACAGAAAAAUUACGAGAGAAAAGAAUAACUACAGAAAAAUCUCACCAGAAUACUUGGACUCUUAAAUCAUGUCAUCUUUCUAUUGGUACAAUUAUUUUUAAAGUAUUUACGUAACUAAAUCAUUUUGGAAUAUCAAUAUACUAAAGUUCAGAAAUUCAUUUGGAAAAUAUCCUUUAGUAAUGAUGCUUAAAUUAGGGCUUGGCACAAGGUGGUUACUCGCUAUUUUAGUUGCACUUGGGAUUUGACUUUCUUUGUACGAGUGAUAAAAUUUUCGACUUGUACUUAAUUUGUUAAAAAUGAAUACUUGAUCAAAAAUGAAUUACUUGCAAGUUAUUUACCUGGCUUUAUUAUUUAUUAUUUACAAGCACUUGUGAACUAUUUACAAGUUUUUUCGAGUAUUUAAGAACUACUUGCUAAAUAAUAAUCUAUUAGAAAUAGACAUGAAAGUUUGUUUUAUUUAUUCUACUUAACAUAACAUCUUAAUUACUUUAAACGAAAUAUUUGUUCAUAUAUAAAGAAGAAAAAAAAAAUAUAUAUGAAUAUAUCAAUAUAUAAACAUUGCAUAAUUUUUAUGAUGACAAAAAUGUCUUUUCUAAACAAGUAACAUAUAAUAACAAGUCAUGUAGUUAAGUUUUUAAUACUUGUUACUAUAUAAUACUUAACGAGAUGAUGAGGAAUAUUUAAAAAUCUUGAUCAAGACAUAUAUGAAAUAAGUAAUAAGUAUAAGAAGAGUAAUGAGUGUUUGUGUCCAAUUCUAAAUACAACUAAAAGAAAAGACAAAUAUAAAUAAGUAUUUAAUAGAUCAUAUAACAAAUAGUAAUGAGGCAAGUAACGAAUCAAGUACUAAAAAUAAUAAUGAUACUUGAUACUUGACUUGGUUUUGGAAGUAAUAAAAAUUGUCGACUUGUUACUUGCUUUGGCAACACCGAAUACUUGAAUUUUUAAGGCGGGUACGAGUCAAGUAACAAAUUUAAGUAAUGAUGUUCAACCCUAGAUUUAAUGACUUAAAAGCACAGAUGGGACUGAUUUUGUAAAUGUUUUGGAUUGGAGAGUCAAAUUAAAGCAUUGACUGAACCGGUUAUGUUAUUGAUAAUAUGUCCAUACUUAUCUUCUAGUAAGAAAUUUGAUUUGCUUACGGUAUUAAAUUAUGUAUUUAGAAAAAUAAAACAGACCCAACGGGACUUAGUGUCUCUUCGGAACAGUAAAAAUAUAUUAAAUUCGGCUCCAAAGCAGAACAAAUCCCACAAAUAUACAAAGUAACGUCACUGGUUCCACCAGCAACACCAUAUAGACCACUGUAAUCGAUUUGCAAUACCACAGAAAGAUACAUACAUAUCUAUGACUACAAAAUUAGUUCGCCUUGGAAACUGUUACGCGAAUACAAGGCAUAAGAGAAUCAUAUAUCUACACAAAAUUGGUGAAUUCAUAACAGAGCAACUAUACAAUAAUGUUUAUGCUUUACUCCAAAUCUAAAGCUUUCCUCAUCUUAGAGACUCUCAAUAUUCUUGUAUUUAAGGCUCACACGACUCAGUCCACACCAAACCUCCAGGAAUCUCGAAAAACACCAAAGGAGAUAGAAGAAUCAAUAAAGAUGUUUACAACCCAAAAAAAAGAAUCACAAAGAUGUACCCGCUAAUUCACACGACAAUACAACAGACAGACACCAAAAAACCUAGUGAACAAGUCUCUUGUGAUUAUAAUAUUGGAAACAAUAAAGUAAGAGAGAGAGGGCGAUAAAAAGAACAGAAAGUUGAGCGACGUCUCUUGUACGUGGAACUUUAAGGAAAAGAUGAGAGACUCUUUGUAAUGUGUUUCAUUGUUUAUUGGUUCAUAUUCUCUAUGUUUUUUUUUGUAUCAAAUCUUAUAUGUUUAUAUUUAAUUGUAAAGUAAUUACUUAAUAUUAUAUAGAUAAAAACUCUUGUGAGAAGUGUACCGCUAAUGAUGCACACAAGUUAUACGUUUGAAAAAAUCAACUAACUUUAGCGCCAUUAAGUUCUCCAAUCAAAAAUAUAAAAAAGACUUCACGUAGCUCUCUAUCUUUUUCCAAGUCAAGUUGUGUGUGGUUACAUAUCUUUAUUUAAACCACCAACACUCUCUCUCAUUUUUCUUAAACCAAAACAAUUCUCUUCUUCACUACUAAUUCAUAAAGACCAUGUCUGAAUCCCGUUUGCAUUUGCAUUUUCUCUCGCUACUUUUGCUCUGUUAUGUCUCCCCUUCAAGCUUCUUUAACUUAAACAUCGAUUACAGUAGCUAUGUUGCUUGCGGUCCCCAUCAGACUCAAGUUCUCACUGAGUUCAUGAACGAGUUUGAUAGCAGCCAGUGCAACCUCAGUGAUCCCUAUAACGGAGUCUGUGCGAUAACUCGACUGGUGCGGUCACAAUGCUACGACUCCAGGCGUGUCUCAGCGGAACUCUAAAGCCCAAUAGUAGCCUCUUCAGGUUACACCAUCUUCGUUACCUUUGCACUCAUUCAAAACAACUUCAUCUCAGCUACAAUUCCUUCAGAAUUUGGGAAUCUCAGCAGGUUAGAGGCCUUAUCUCUUAGGAAUAAUAGCUUUGUAGGCCAAGUUCCUUCCUCAUUUAACAGCCUAAGCCUUCUUUCCGUUUUAGAACUUUCCCUAAACGAGCUCACUGGUAGUUUCCCACUUGUGAGGAAUCUAACAAAGCUCUCGGCUUUAAGCCUUGCUGCGAAUCAUUUCUAUGGAACUCUGAAUCCUAAGAGUACUAGCCUGUUUGAGUUGCGCCACCUCCGUUACCUUGAUCUAAGUCAAAACAACUUCACCUCAUCACUCCCUUCUGAAUUUGGAAAUCUCAACAGACUAGAGAUCUUGGCUCUUUCCUCCAAUGACUUUUUCGGGCAAGUUCCUCCCACAAUUAGUAACCUAACCUCGUUAGAGGAAUUGAACCUUCACCACAACCAACUCACUGGUAGUUUCUCACUUGUUCAAAACCUAACCAUGCUUUCAGUUAUAGCAAUCAAUCAUAAUCACUUCUCUGGAGCCAUUCCAUCUUCUCUCUUCACCAUGCCUUUCUUAUCAUAUCUCGAUAUGGGAGACAACGAUCUCACUGAUUCUGUUGAAGUUUACAACUCCUCAUCUACCCUGUCUAGGCUCGAGUACUUGUCCCUUGGGAAUAACCAUUUUGAAGGAAAAAUCAUAGAGCCUAUCUCAAAGCUCAUCAGCCUCAAGAUUCUUGACCUUUCUUUCCUUAACACAAGUUACCCGAUUGAUGUAAGCCUCUUCUCCUCGCUGAAAUAUUUGGUGGACCUUGAUCUUUCCGGUAAUAGUAUAUCUCCGGCCAGUUUAGGUUCAAAUUUAGACAUCCCAAUAAACCUGGAGAUUUUGUUGUUACGAGGUUGCGGCAUCAAAGAGUUCCCAAAUAUCUUAAAGAUCCUUGAGAAGUUGGAGAAUAUAGACUUGUCCGACAACAUAAUCAAAGGCGAGGUCCCGGAGUGGUUAUGGAAGCUUCCUCGUCUAAACACAGUGUUUCUUUCAAAUAAUUCUUUUAAUGGUUUGGAAGGUCCAGUGGAUGUUUUGGUAAAUUCAUCUGUGAAGAAUUUAUUUAUGGAGCGAAACUAUUUUAAAGGAGCAGUUCCUAUUCUACCACUCUCCAUCAACAACUUUGCUGCGACAAUCAAUAGAUUCACAGGGAGCAUACCUCUUUCAAUCUGCAAUUGUAGGUCGCUUACGCAUUUAUGGCUUCCUUACAACAACCUCACGGGUCCAAUCCCUCAAUGCUUGAGUAACUUGACGGUUUUGAAUCUCCGGAAGAACAACUUGGAAGGAAGUAUCCUUGAGGCAUUUUAUGUCGGUGCUUCUCUACAAACACUUGAUGUUGGACACAAUCGACUAACCGGGAAACUUCCAAGAUCUCUUCAGAAUUGUUCAUCUCUCGAGUUUCUAGCUGUUGACCACAACAUAAUCAAAGACAAGUUUCCUUUUUGGCUCAAGGCUUUACCAAAUUUGCAAGUCCUUAUCCUCAGUUCAAACAAAUUCUAUGGAUCUAUAUCUCCUCCUGGUCAAGGUCCUCUCGGGUUUCCAGAGCUGCGUAUAUUUGAGAUAGCUGAUAAUAAGUUUACUGGAAGCUUGCCACCGAGAUACUUUGUCAAAUGGAAAGCAUCGUCCCUUAUGAUGAAUGAAGAUGGUGGUCUAUAUAUGGUAUACACGAAAAGGACUUCCGGGAGACUGUCAUAUAUGGAUAUAGAAGCUAUAGAUUUGAAAUACAAAGGUCUAUCAAUGGAGCAAGGGAAGGUCCUUACCUCAUACGCCACUAUUGAUUUUUCUGGGAACAGAAUUGAAGGACAGAUUCCUGAAUCAAUUGGUCUCUUGAAAGCACUGAUUGCACUCAACUUAUCCAACAAUGCCUUCACAGGUCAUAUUCCUCUGUCUUUCUCCAAUCUGGGAAAGCUAGAGUCACUAGACCUAUCAAGAAACCAACUCUCCGGGACUAUUCCAAAUGGACUUGGGACCCUCUCCUUUCUGGCGUACAUAAAUGUGUCUCACAACCAACUCAAGGGUGAAAUACCACAAGGAACACAGAUUACCGGCCAACCUAAGUCUUCAUUUGCAGGGAAUGCAGGCCUUUGUGGUCUUCCUCUCCAGGAAACUUGCUUUGGGACUAUUGCGCCACCAACACAACAACCUCCGGAAGAAGAAGAAGGAGAAGAGGAAGAAGUGUUGAACUGGAAAUGUGUGGCAAUAGGGUAUGGACUUGGAGUGUUGCUUGGAUUGACAAUAACACACCUCAUUGCAACAUAUAAACCGGAGUGGCUCGUUAAGAUAAUUGGUCCGAACAAGCGCAGAAACCGUUAGGAUUGUUUUCAGUUUGAGUAUGAUCCUUCAAUAUAUGUCAAGUGGUUGAUGUGAUUCAUCUUUGUAUGGAAGCAUCUCUUUAUGUUUGUUGUAUCAUUAUCUAAUGCUUAAUUUGUUCUAUUUCGCUUCUUUUUAUGAAGUAAUAAUUGUGUAUGUUUUUUGUCAUCUCAUAUGAAUUUAUGUUUUUUUUUCUACUGAGUAAAGUGGCAGAAUCAAGGAAAAUGGUGAAAUGGGAUCAAUCGCAUUUCGGUAAGAAGAAGCCAAGAAACUGUUGAGACCUAAUAUAUAUGAUGAUGCAUCAGCCAAAAGUUAAGUUGAAAUGGAAUAUAAAGACAACUAAUAAAUUACUCAAAUAGCAAAAAUCUUAUAGUAACAAGAGUGGGAUGCAGUGAUUAUUGGCUAUGUCUUGGAUUCACGAUAGCACAAAUCACUUACUCAUACACACUAAGGGGGUUAUUGGAACAUGAAUUUCGAUGAAAUUUGAUGAUUUUAAUAGUUGAGACUUGAAAGGAUUUUACAAGUUAACUAGAUUUAACAAAUUUUAUAAAAUACUUUUACAUAGAUUUUCAUUACUUGUGUAUAGAAUUCUAUUGAUUGUUAUUAACUUUUAAAGUAAGAAACUAAUGGUGCUAGAAAAAAAGGAAAGAAAAUCAUUUCAAUUAAGGCAAUUCUUACACAAUUUAUUUAAAAUAUUUUGUCACAAAAAAGAUCUCAAGAAAUAAAUUGACCAAAAUUUUAAUUUCUACUUCUUACUUAAUAGGUAUAUAAAUAAUAAAAAAUAAAAAUAUUUUUAUAUAAUUUCGAAAUAUAUGUUUAAAUUUAAAUUUUUGUAAAAAUAUUUUGAAUUAUUAUUUUUUAAAUUUUUUUUAUAAAAAAUUCGAAAGUGCUUUUUAAAACUAUUUUUACAAUUUUUAUUUUAAAUUUUUAAUAUUUUUUUCUAUUAUUUUAAAUUGUGAAUUGUAAUAUAUUAAAGUUGUGAUUUGUAUAUUAUUUUAUUCUUCAAUUUCAGUUUUUGUAUGUGAGUUAUUACAUUGAUUUCAAAAAUCUUAUGGGUAUAGAUGAUAUUUUUAAAGUGGAGUAUUAUGAGUAAAAACAAAGAAAAAUUACAUCCCAAUAACAAUAGAUUUUAAUAGAAUCUUAAAAUCAAUGAAAACUAAAUUUUUCUAAUAACAAAGGAUUUUGAGUGGAAUUUAAAAAUCAUCACCCCAAUAACAAUAAAUUUUUUAAGAUUUUAAAAAUUCACAAAUCAAUAACAAUGUAAUCUCAAAAUUUAAUAAUUUCUCUACAAUUCUUUGCCCAAUAAUCCCCCUAAGAGCACCCCCAUUGAGGGUUCAUGGGGGGAGUUCACACAAAAACCAAGAAAAAAAAAUAAUAAAAUAAUUCAAUCCCAUGAACCCUCUCUCUCCUAAAGUUCUCUUGGUUGAACCCCUCUCUCCUAAAGUUCAUCACUGUAGUGCGGGCCCCACGUGUCGUGGCGGCCCGCGAUUGGUCUAACUUUUUUUUUUUUUUUUUUUUUUAAAAAAAAACCAAAAAGAAAAAGAAACAAAUUUUAAUAAUAAAAAACUAAAAAGAUGAACCCCAAGAGGGGGUUCAUUGAUGUGGAUGCUCUAAGGGUUGCUCGUCAGUCCUAGUAACUUUUAUGAUUUUUUUUUUGGUUUUGCAUUGAAUCUUUAAAGGUUUAUUUAGUAAACAUAUGAACUAAAUAUUUAUCCAGUGCUAUGUUCUGAUUUCUUGUCAUUUAAAUUAAGAAAGCUGAAUCUUCUCUAGUCUUUUUUAUAUUUACACAUCUCUAAUAGAAGAGAACACAGACACGUACAAGUUUACAUAUAUAUACAUAUACAUCUCUAGUGUUCUUUUAUCUUGUCGCACAAAAAAAAGUCUUCUUUUAUCUUAUAUAUGUAUAUACAUUUCUAGUCUUUUUAUCUCAUCCUCAUCUAGGUCCUCUGGGGUUCCCUGAGCUAUGAAUACUUGAUAUCUGAUACAAGGGUGUCCCUGAUAUGUUGGGGGCCAAAAGCAAUUUGUAAGAGUUUUAAAAACAUUUUUUUUUUACAAAUUUGAGAAUUUUUUCUAUGUAAUUUUUUUUAAAAAAUUUGAAGGUUCUAUGCCAAUGUUUCACUUUGAUAUGCUCAGAACCAUCUCUAUGCUCAGGACCAUCUCUGAUCUGAUAGUAAGUUUUUUGGAAUUAGAAAACAUAAUCACUUAAAAUGAAUAGCAAAUAGUGGCCUAUAUAUGGUAAUCAAAACGACUGGUUACAAGGUGAUUUCCCACACCUAUACAUACUUUACAGAUUUGGAAUACAAAGUCUGAAGUGGAGCAAGCCAUUUCUCACAAGGUGAAUUCCUCACUUCCUGAAUCUAUUGGUCUCUUGAAUAAACAGACUGCCCCCAACUCGAGUCAGUUCACUCUUGAUAGACGAAAAAAAGCAGACGCCAGAGAACUUAACGCUUAAAAAAUGCCACUACUAGAAGAGAAGACAGAUACAUACAAAAUAAAAGCUUUUUUUUUGUAACAAAAAUUUCAUUAAUUCAAAUCUAAAGCGUUUUGACGACUACAACCUCCGGUUGUACUUCCGGUUGUAGUCGAUGAACAACAAUAACAGAAAAACAAUACAGCAUGGGAUAGAAGUGUUGAUACAUCAAAGUCAACUUGGCUUGACUUAAGCAGAGGAUUGAAACAGUCUUGGGUUUAAAAUAUAAACCAAGAGAUGUAGCAAUAAGUAAAAAAAGAUGAAAACAUCGAAUCCGAAUAAUCACAGAGUUGUAAUCCGUUAAUUCACAUAUAUAUCUCCACCCGACAUUUGCUGAUGACGCGUUUAGUGUGUGGCACGCACGUGUAAGGGUGUUUGUUAGCUACGCCAUAGCGUGUGACCACUUUGGUCUUUGACUGGCCCUCAAGUUACCAAGUCUUGAAACAUGCCAAUUCACUAUAUGUGAACAUAUGUGAGAAAUUUCAAAAUUGAUGUCUUUCCAAUCCACGUUUUUCACUUCAUGAUUUGAAUGGCAAUUAGCCACUUAGCCAUACUGUACCCCAACCCAAAAUACAAAAACUUCUAAAUCAAAUUGUAUGGGUGAAAUAGCUUCAGUUGAAACCCACGUAUCUUUUAUUUAUACCACCAACCUUGCCUCUCAUUCCAAAAUAAAUCUUCUUCAAAAAAAUUUCAUAAAGACCAUGUCUGAAUCACUUAUACGCUUGCAUUUUCUCUCGCUAAUCUUGCUCUGCUGUGUCUUCCCUUCAAGAUCCUUCGAUUUACCUAUCGAUAAUAGUACUUAUGUUGCUUGUGUUGGAACUAUUUUUUGAACAUUAUGAAUAAUGUAUUCAUAUGUCAAAAAAGAAGUUUUAUUUGAAUGAGAAAUGGAGGUCUAAUGUGUAUGAUUUGAAAAACUUGUAUAAAGUAGCAAAUACACACAUUGGAUAUUUGAAAUUGGAUUUGGGUUUUUUGAUUUGUUAGUUGGACUUCAUGUUCAUUGACUUAAUCUUAUAAACCAAAUAUAUGUUGAUCUUUUAUAUUGAUAAAAUAUAAAAAAGAAAUCCAUUUUAAAGUAUAUUAUUUUGUUUGAAUUGGUCAAAACAAUAAUAAUUUUAUUCUUUAAUUUCUUGGUCAAAAUGUGGAAUAAAUUCACAUAAUAAUGACAAGAAUUAAAAAACUCCAUUAGUGCACUAUGGAGGUUUCAUUUUUGUGUUGAAAAAUGAAACUUGUGCUUCUCAUUAUAUUUCUAUAUAAAGGCUUGUGAGCCAUUUAGAAAACAUACACAUUCAUACAAUCAAGAACAUUUCUCCCACUCAGAAUAGUUAUGCUAGUAUUUUUUAUUCUUUUCAGUCUGAGAGUACAUCACAGAAAUAGGUUCGAUAGAUUCUGUUUUUCGGUGAUGGUAAACAGAAACAAUGCUGCAGUUGUAUCUUGGGAAUCUGAGCGCCAUAAAACCGUCACACUACGGGGCGUUUAAAGAUUUAAGGAAAGAGAUUAACUAUCUCGACUCUGCAAUUCUUCUUUAUUUUUAUAUUUUGGUAUUGAAAUUUUAGUUUAUGUUCUUAUUAUUCUUUACAAAUAUCAGUUGUCCUAUGGUAGUAAAAUAAGGUUCCUACACUCUUAAAUCUUUAAAUAUUGUUUAUGCUUUUGCACUAACAAUACUGAUAUUUGUUAAAAGUUAUUGUUUUUUUUAAGAACAGGUUAAUCGACGGUAUCGAAACAAAAUCUGGAUUUGUGUUUUCUUCAACCAGCUUUUGAGAUUGUGUAAAGCUUGUGUUCUUGAGCUAACAUUAUUUUUUGCAGGAUCGGUUGAAUUAUUUAAAAUAAUUCUCCUGCACUUACGUGUUUCGGUUGUGAUUUGCAUGAUUUAUUGAUUAUUAGUUUUAUUCCUGUUCAGUCAAUAGCAGUGAUCGAUCUUGUUUUCAGCACUAAUGAUAGUAACACUGGUUUAAGUUUUAUGAAACUAGUCAACAGGUGCUGAUCGUGGGUUCUAGCAAUCGAACGGGAAGAUAAAUUGCAGGUUGUGGUGUUUGAUUAUUGAUUAUAUUAAAUUGCAAAAUUUGAUGAUUUAAAAAAAAAUUAUGUCAGUUUUUUAUCAUUUUCAAUAUGUUUUUUGAAAAGAAAAAGAGAAAAAAAAAACUGAUGUAGAUUUUAUAUCCAACCGUUACAAAUUGCAAAGGAAAAAGGUUUAUUGCUUUUGGUCAAAGAUAUGUUUUAACUAUUGAUAUUUAAUUAGUAAAACAAUAUGUGGAAUAAAACGUUUUUCUGGAUUACUUAUUGUGAAGUUGUUGUUUAAACUUUAUUAGUCAUAUGUUUGGUAUUGAGUAGUAUAUUAAUCUGGGUUUGGUUUCUAGUGAACAAACCCAUAUGACAAUAUAGCUAAACCAAAGUGAUUAAUAAAAUCUCGAUUUUUAAGAGAUCAAAUGAUAUAUAUAUGGAAAUGGAUUUAGUGAGUCGACGCCCCAAAUUAAGUUUGGGAGAGGUCUGCCACAUAUAAAUCAUUUGCCAUAGGAAAUAAAAUGUUUGUUGAUAUUGGUCAUAAACAUUUAUAUUUCAUCAAUGCUUAAAUGCAAGUUACAAGAAGAUUGACCAUGCAAAAACAAUGAUAAUUUUCAGACCAAUAUGAUUGAAACUGACAUGUGUAUUGUAGUUUAUAAAGUCAAUAUGGUUGAAAAUAAUCAUAUAUAAUGGUGGUUUUGAUGACACAAAUAAUAUCUUGUGUAUAUUUGUUAAAAAAGCAAAAUAUGUGUUUGGAAAAGAUCCAAAACAUACAAGUUAGAUUUAUAAAUCAACUUGAGAGAACUAUGAAAAUAGUUGUAUGUAAAAUGUGAAUUUCUAAGAAUGAAACACAUUUUUUCAAGAAAAUUGUAAUAAUUUUUGAAAUUGCUUUUAAUUCAUUUAAAUCUAAAGGAGUUGUAGAUUAAUUUUCUAAACUCUUAAGAGAUGUUAAAUGUAAUUAUGCAUGUUUUGAGCUAUCUCAAGAAAUGUGGGGGAAGCUUUGCUUACCAUAUAAAGUCGUUGGCAAGAGGUCAUAUGAACUUAGUGAUAGUUAUCACAAUAUAAUUUUUUUUUAUUAAAAAAAAAAAACAAGCUAGUGUCAUACACUGAGUUUUGUGUAUAAUGGUUAAUUGUAUCUUGAAUAAAAGAUGACAAAAAUCAUUAGACAAUUGAUCUCCACUAAUCUCAAGAGAUUAUGUUCACUAUGGUGACAACCUAGGAUCCUUUAAUUAAAGGUGUGUCAUGAGAUCAAAUUGUUAUAUCAUCAAAAGGAAUGGGUCGCCUGUGAAUUAAGAUGAGGUUUCGCGGUAACUCUACCUAACUGACUGGAGAUCCCAAGAAAUAGGUUCAAGGAGACAACUAAGUGAAACUAAGUCUGUCCAAAGCACUGUAAGACUUCGGUCUAUACCCAGUUCCUAUGAUGAUUAAACAGUGCUACAUGUAAAGAAUACAGGAUAAGCAUUAGCUUUUAAUGAUUUGUGUCCAUAGCUUUGAGAUAUGAAUGGAGUAGUACAUGAUACUCCUCUAAACAAAGUUAAUGGCAAAUCACCUUGUGAGUGUGAAAUGGGGCCGUUUCUAGGAGAAUGAAGGAAAGGCUAUAUUCUCCAAGUUCACUCAUGAUUAACCAAGACUGUUCACGGCCAAAAUGAACACAAUAGAGAACCUAGUUCUGUGAGAGAAUGAAGCUGUGUUAUGGCUAUUGUCUAGGUUUAUACCAAAGCCCGGGAGGUUCAAGACAUCAUGGCCACCUCCUGGCCGAGUAAAUCCGAUAGCUAUUAACAAUGACUGGUUCAAGGCUGAAAAAUUGCUACCAACUCAUCAUGCAGUGGAUUUUUCGUUUGUACUCUCAAAAGUCCUUAGUUAGGUCUUGUCGAGUCUUGUCUAGGAAGUUGAGUCUUGUCUAGAAAGUCUGUCGAGUCAUCUAGUGUCUAGAGUCAUUUCUAUUCAUGUGGGGGAUUGUUGGAACUAUUUUUUGAACAUUAUGAAUAAUGUAUUCAUAUGUCAAAAAAGAAGUUUUAUUUGAAUGAGAAAUGGAGGUCUAAUGUGUAUGAUUUGAAAAACUUGUAUAAAGUAGCAAAUACACACAUUGGAUAUUUGAAAUUGGAUUUGGGUUUUUUGAUUUGUUAGUUGGACUUCAUGUUCAUUGACUUAAUCUUAUAAACCAAAUAUAUGUUGAUCUUUUAUAUUGAUAAAAUAUAAAAAAGAAAUCCAUUUUAAAGUAUAUUAUUUUGUUUGAAUUGGUCAAAACAAUAAUAAUUUUAUUCUUUAAUUUCUUGGUCAAAAUGUGGAAUAAAUUCACAUAAUAAUGACAAGAAUUAAAAAACUCCAUUAGUGCACUAUGGAGGUUUCAUUUUUGUGUUGAAAAAUGAAACUUGUGCUUCUCAUUAUAUUUCUAUAUAAAGGCUUGUGAGCCAUUUAGAAAACAUACACAUUCAUACAAUCAAGAACAUUUCUCCCACUCAGAAUAGUUAUGCUAGUAUUUUUUAUUCUUUUCAGUCUGAGAGUACAUCACAGAAAUAGGUUCGAUAGAUUCUGUUUUUCGGUGAUGGUAAACAGAAACAAUGCUGCAGUUGUAUCUUGGGAAUCUGAGCGCCAUAAAACCGUCACACUACGGGGCGUUUAAAGAUUUAAGGAAAGAGAUUAACUAUCUCGACUCUGCAAUUCUUCUUUAUUUUUAUAUUUUGGUAUUGAAAUUUUAGUUUAUGUUCUUAUUAUUCUUUACAAAUAUCAGUUGUCCUAUGGUAGUAAAAUAAGGUUCCUACAGCUUGUGGUCCCCAUCAGACUGAUCAAGCUCUCACUGAGUUCAUGAACGAGUUUGAUAGCAGUCGCUGCAACCUCACUGAUCCCUAUAAUGGAGUCUGGUGCGAUAACUCGACUGGUGUGGUCACAAAGCUACAACUCAGAGAAUGCCUCAGUGGAAACCUCAAGCCCAAUAGUAGCCUAUUCAGGUUACACCAUCUUCGUUAUCUUAGCCUCCGUCAUAACAACUUCAACCCAUCUUCACUUCCUUGGGAAUUUGGCAAUCUCAGCAGGUUAGAGUACUUAUCUCUUACGAAUAAUAGCUUUGUAGGCCAAGUUCCUUCCUCAUUUAAUAGCCUAAGCCUUCUUUCCCAUUUAUCUCUUUCCCAAAACGAGCUCACUGGUAGUUUCCCACUUGUAAGGAAUCUAACAAAGCUCUCGUUUUUAAGCCUUGAUAAUAAUCAUUUCUAUGGAACUCUGAAUCCCAACAGUACUAGCCUGUUUGAGUUGCACCACCUUCGUUACCUUUUACUAAGUUACAAUAACUUCAAUUCCUCAAUUCCUUCUGAAAUUGGAAUCCUCAACAGACUAGAGGUCUUUUCUCUUUCCUUCAAUGACUUUUCCGGGCAAGUUCCUCCAACAAUUAGUAACCUAACCUCGUUAACCGAAUUAUACCUUAUACACAACCACCUCACUGGUAGUUUCCCACCUGUACAAAAUCUUACCAUGCUCUCUAUUCUAUAUCUUACCGUGAAUCACUUCUCUGGAACCAUUCCAUCCUCUCUCUUCACCAUGCCUUCCUUAUCAAUUCUCGGUCUGAGAGAAAAUGAUCUCACCGGAUCUAUUGAAUUUCCUAACUCCUCUACCCCAUCUAGGCUCGAGUUCUUGUACCUUGGGAAUAACCAUUUUGCAGGAAAAAUCAUAGAGCCUAUCUCAAACCUCAUCAACCUCACACACCUAGACCUUUCUUUCCUAAACACAACCUAUCCAGUUGACUUAAACCUCUUCUCCUCUCUCAAAUCUUUGUUGCACCUUGAUCUUUCUGGUAACAGUAUAUCUCCAGCCAGUUUAGAUGAUACAAAUUUAGACAUCCCAAUAAACCCGGAGAUUUUGUUGUUACAAGGCUGCCGCAUCACUGAGUUCCCAAAUAUCUUAAAGAUCCUUGACAAGUUGGAGUUUAUAGACUUGUCCGACAACAUAAUCAAAGGCAAGGUCCCCGAGUGGUUAUGGAAGCUUCCUCGUCUAAACACAGUGUUUCUUUCAAAUAAUUCUUUUAAUGGUUUGGAAGGUCCAGUGGAUGUUUUGGUAAAUUCAUCUGUGAAGAAUUUAUUUAUGGAGCGAAACUAUUUUGAAGGAGCAGUUCCUAUUCUACCACUCUCUAUCAACGCCUUUUUUGCGUCAGGCAAUAGUUUCACAGGGAGCAUACCUCUUUCAAUCUGCAGCUAUAGAUCUCUCACGCAAUUGAUGCUAGGUUACAACAGCCUCACGGGUCCAAUCCCUCAAUGCUUGAGUAACUUUACAUUUGUGAAUCUUCGGAAGAACAACUUGGAAGGGAGUAUUCCUGACGCCUUUCAUAUCAGUUCUUCUCUACAAUCACUUGAUGUUGGACACAAUCUACUCACCGGGAAACUUCCAAGAUCUCUUCAAAAUUGCUCAUCUCUAGAGUUUCUAGUUGCUGACCACAACAUGAUUGAAGACACAUUUCCUUUCUGGCUCAAGGCUUUACCAAAUUUGCAAGUACUAAUCCUCAGUUCAAACAAAUUAUAUGGUUCGAUAUCUCCUCCUGGUCAAGGUCCUCUCGGGUUUCCAGAGAUUCGUAUAUUUGAUAUAUCUGAUAAUAAGUUUACUGGAAGCUUGCCACCAACAUACUUUGUCAACUGGAAAGCAUCGUCACUUAUGAUGAAUGAAGAUCGUGGUCUAUAUAUGGUAUACACAAAAAAGACUUAUGGGAUACUAUCCUAUAUCCAUAUAGAAACUAUAGAUUUGCAAUACAAAGGUCUACGCCAAACCCAAACGAGGGUUCUUACCUCAUAUGCCACUAUUGAUUUUUCUGGGAAUAGAAUUGAAGGACAGAUUCCUGAAUCAAUUGGUCUCUUGAAGGCACUGAUUGCACUCAACUUAUCAAAAAACGCCUUCACAGGCCAUAUUCCUCUGUCUAUUUCCAAUCUGGGAGAGCUCGAGUCACUAGACCUAUCAAGCAACCAACUCUCAGGGACUAUUCCUAGUGGAAUCGGGAGCCUCUCAUUUUUGGAGUACAUAAAUGUGUCUCGCAACCAGCUCAAGGGUGAAAUACCACAAGGAACACAGAUCAUUGGACAAACUCAAUCUUCAUUUGAAGGGAAUGCAGGGCUUUGUGGUCUCCCUCUCCAGGAAACUUGCUUUGGGACUAUUGCGCCACCGAGACAACAACCUCCGGAAGAAGAUAAAGAAGAGGAGGAACAAGUGUUGAACUGGAAAGGUGUGGGAAUAGGGUAUGGACCUGGAGUGUUGCUUGGAUUGGCAAUAGCACAAGCCAUUGGUUCAUACAAACCGGAGCGCUCGUCAAGAUAAUUUCAGUUUGAGUAUGAUCCUUCAAUGUAUGUCAAGUGGUUGAUGAUCCCUCUUGUAUGGAAGCAUCUAUUUAUGUUUGUUGUAUCAUUAUCUGAUGAUUUGCUUAUAUAUCGUUUUCUAUAAAGUAAGAAGGGUGAAUGUUUUGUAGUCGAUUUCAUGUGCAUCUCUAUUUUUUUUCUUCCGAGUAAAAUGGUGAAAGGGGGUCAAAUUGGGAUUUAGUAGUAUUCAAAUAUUAGAUCGAUCACAUUCCAAUAAGAAGAAGCCAAGAAACUGUUGAGAACUAAUGGGAUAUAGAGACAACUAAUAUAUUAAAUAGCCGUUUUGUAAAGGAUGCUUUGUGAUUAUGUCACUUGUUAAUUUGAAGUUGCUGUGAGAUAUUUUUUGCCUUUCAAGAUACUGCAGAAUACUGAUCAUAUAUGAAAGCUACACCAUCAACAGAACGAAACCUCAAUUUAUAGUGACAGAAGUGGUAAGAAAUGGCUAAAGGCUAUGCUCUUGGAGUAACAAUAGCACAAGUCGCUGCUUUAUACACACUAGAGUUGCUCGUCAAUUCUAGAAAUUUUAUGAUUUUUUGGUUUUGCAUGUGAUCUUUGAAGGUUCAUUUAUGACUUGGUGGCGUUACAAAGAAGCAAAUUUCCUAUGGUUUUUCUUAUAUCUUUAUCCAAUGCUAUGUUCUGGUUUCAUGUGCUUUAAAAUUACGAAAUCUGAAUCUUUUCUAUUCAUAUUUGUUUAUUCUUACUCAAAUACUUGAGGGAGAAAAAAAAUAGAAGAAAAAGCCUCGAAACAGAGGCGUGAGAGUAAAAGCAAACGACAGGGUAUUUGUCAUGGACGGAGCCGAGCGAUAGAACGGGUACGGGUUUUGUUUUGUAUGAGCUUGAUAGGGAACCUCUCCACUCCAUGCAGAGGCAGACAAUCCAUAAUGGGCGAUGAAGGAGGUGAGCAACCGUGGACUGCAUCAAGUGAACUUUGAGUCCGACUGCCAACAACUUGUGCAAAUUAUCCAAUUGGCGAAACCUUGGCCUGCUCUAGACCCUGAACUGUAUGAAAUUGGAGCACUUCGAUCUUCUUUUUAUGGUUUUACUACUCAGUUUAAUUCCCUGAUUUUCAAAUGUCCAUGAGGAUAGUCUUGCUAAAGACGUCUGAUUACAUGUUGAGAACUACACUUUAGUAGACGUUAAGGAUCUCCUGAGAUUAGCCCAUGAGAUUAGACCAUGAGACUAGCUUGUAUGGAACAUGAAACUUUUGAAGACAAAAACGAAAAAAUAAUAAUGAAACACAAAAAGAUUUGAUUUGUUGGUGUUUUUUCCUUUAAAAUUUUGACUUUAUUCGUGUCUUUUUGUUAUAACUUUUUUUUAUCUCUCUUAACAGGAAUUCAUAACCCACAUGUGACAUAUGUAAUGAUUUAUCAACAGAAAGUAGGCAUAUCGCUUCUCGAGUUUAGCAAUUGAAUCACAAGUAAACGUGGUUAACAACUAGUUUGGUCUCAUAUUUUGAUCACGUUUCUCUUCCUAAUUCUAGUCAAAAGUUUCCUCGACUUUUGUCCGAGCAUGAACACUUGCAUUUUCAAACACAAUCACUCUAAUUCAGUUUCGUUUAAGAAAAAAAAGUAACUCGUUUUUUGUAAAGGAUGCUUUGUGAUUAUGUCACCUAUUAAUUUGAAGUUGCCUGUAAGAUAUUUUUUGCCUUUCAAGAUACUGCAGAAUACUGAUCAUAUAUGAAAGCUACACCAUCAACAGAACGAAACCUCAAUUUAUAGUGACAGAAGUGGUAAGAAAUGGCUAUAGGCUAUGCUCUUGGAGUAACAAUAGCACAAGUCGCUGCUUUAUACACACUAGAGUUGCUCGUCAAUUCUAGAAAUUUUAUGAGUUUUUGGCGUUAAAACGAAGCAAAUUUCCUAUGGCCCAAACCUCCAGGAAUCUCGAAAAACACAAAAGGAGAAAGAAGAAACACAAAGAUGUACUCCGCUAAUUCACACGACAUUACACAGACAGACCACAAAACUUAGUGUGCGACACAUGUAGGGUCUUCUGAUGUCUUUCCAAGUUAUACUUUUAAAAAAUCAACUAACUUAGCCAUUAAGUUCUCCAAUCAAGAAUAGUGAAUACAAAGACUUCACGUAGCUCUCUAUCGUUUUCCAAGUCUUAAGUUUUGUGGGUGACAUAUCUUUAUUUAUACCACCAACCUUCUCUCUCAUUUUUCUUAAACCAAAAUAAAUCUUUUUCAAUACUUAUUCAUAAAGACCAUGUCUGAAUCCCGCGUGCAUUUACAUUUUCUCUGGCUAAUCUUGCUCUGUUGUGUCUCCCUUUCAAGCUUCUUCACUUUCAAAGUCGAUAGUAGUAGUUAUGUUGCUUGUGGUCCCCAUCAGACUCAAGCUCUCACUGAGUUCAUGAACGAGUUUGAUAGCAGCCAGUGCGACCUCAGUGAUCCCUUUAAUGGAGUCUGGUGCGAUAACUCUACCGGUGUGGUCACAAUGCUACAACUCGAGGCUUGUCUCAUUGGAACUUUAAAUCCCAACAGUAGCUUAUUCAGGUUACACCAUCUUCGUCACCUUGACCUCUAUCAAAACAACUUCAUCUCAUCUUCACUUCCUUCUGAAUUUGGCAAUCUCAAAAGGUUAGAGUUCUUAUCUCUCUCUAGUAAUGGCUUCGUCGGCCAAGUUCCUUCCUCAUUUAAUAAUCUAAGCCUUCUCUCCGUUUUAUACCUUUCCCAAAAUGAGCUCACCGGUUGUUUCCCACUCAUACGGAAUCUAAUAAAGCUCUCGGAUCUAGACCUUUCUAAUAAUCAUUUCUCUGGAACUCUGAACCCCAACAGUACUAGCCUGUUUGAGUUGCACCACCUCCGUUACCUCUAUCUAGAACACAACAACUUCAGGUCAUCAUUGCCUUCUGAAUUUGGAAAUCUCAACAGACUAGAGUUCUUGUAUCUUUUCUCCAAUGAGUUUUUCGGGCAAGUUCCUCCAACAAUUAGUAACCUAACCUCG
RNAcentral lists this long non-coding RNA (26260 nucleotides) under Brassica rapa (field mustard). Its description in RNAcentral is "long non-coding RNA (BRAP_LNC003044)". Lineage: Eukaryota; Viridiplantae; Streptophyta; Magnoliopsida; Brassicales; Brassicaceae. The record is from RNAcentral.